UCCUCUUUGAUUGUCUGUUGUAUAAUAAAUGUAUGAUGGAAGCAAAAGACAAUCACAGGGGCAGC
MicroRNA precursor from Monodelphis domestica (gray short-tailed opossum), 65 nucleotides. Lineage: Eukaryota; Metazoa; Chordata; Mammalia; Didelphimorphia; Didelphidae. The record is from Ensembl.